RNAcentral lists this ribosomal RNA (474 nucleotides) under uncultured bacterium. RNAcentral describes it as "bacterial SSU rRNA". It matches the Rfam family "Bacterial small subunit ribosomal RNA", at positions 328 to 793 of the family's 1533-position model. The record is from RNAcentral.
CGCUAUCACUCCUACGGGAGGCAGCAGUGGGGAAUAUUGCACAAUGGGGGAAACCCUGAUGCAGCCAUGCCGCGUGUGUGAAGAAGGCCUUCGGGUUGUAAAGCACUUUCAGUAGGGAGGAAGGUAGUGUAGUUAACACCUGCACUAUUUGACGUUACCUACAGAAGAAGCACCGGCUAACUCCGUGCCAGCAGCCGCGGUAAUACGGAGGGUGCGAGCGUUAAUCGGAAUUACUGGGCGUAAAGCGCAUGCAGGCGGCCUGUUAAGUCAGAUGUGAAAGCCCGGGGCUUAACCUCGGAAUUGCAUUUGAAACUGGCAGGCUAGAGUCUUGUAGAGGGGGUAGAAUUUCAGGUGUAGCGGUGAAAAUGCGUAGAGAUCUGAAGGAAUACCAGUGGCGAAGGCGGCCCCCUGGACAAAGACUGACGCUCAGAUGCGAAAAGCGUGGGGAGCAAACAGGAUUAGAUACCCUGGUAG